ACCAUCUGGAACACCUACAAUUUUUAUCCACAAUGUCUACAAUUCAAUCAACAAGUAUUAGACUUCUCAAGAUAUGGGGAAAUAUAACUGAAAAUCAAGAACAUAGAAGACUUAUACAUGAUUCAGAUAUUGGAAUAUGCUCACAAACACUUUAAAAUAAUAUGAUUAAGAUUUUUAAAGAUGGGCCAGCCCCAGUGGCCUACGGGUUAAGUUAAGCGCACUCUGCUUUGGCAGCUCAGGUUGGGGUCCUGGGUAUAGACCUACACCACUCAUCAGUGGCCAUGCUGUGGCAGUGGCCCACAGACAAAAAGCAGAGGAAGAUUGGCAACAGAUGUUAGCUCAGGGCAAAUCUUCCUGAGCAUAAAAAGAAGAUUUUUAAACAAAUAGCACAAGAUGGAGAAAGUAGUUUUUACCAAAAAAUUGGAACUGAAAAAAAUCAAAUGGUAAAUCUAAAACUGAAAAAUUCAAUAACAGAAAUAAACAAUCACUUGGCAUAAUAAGAAAUUAGACAACAGCAGGAGACAGGAUUGGUGAACAGUUAAGACAAGUCAAAAGAAAACAUACAAGCUAAAGCAUAGAGAAAAAAAUGAAAAUUAUAGAAGAAAGAGUGAGAGUCAUUUGGGACCCGGUGAAAAGAUCUCAUAUUCAGAUGGAAUUUCAGGAAAAGAAGAGAGACAAUUCAAAAGAGAGUUGAUAAAAGACAUCAACAUAUAUAUUCAAGAUGUUCUGGAAACUCUAAGAAAAAAAUAAAGUAAAACCUAGUUUAUUUAGUAAAAUGGCUGAACCUCAACGACAGAGAAAAUCUUAAAAGCAGCUAGAGAAUAAAUAUACGUUACCUUCAACAGAGCAACAAUAAAAUAGGUGACUUCUCAGCAUAAACAAAGACAUCUUUAAUGCACUGCAAAAUUAUUGCCAACCUCGAUCUGCUCUAAAAGAAAUCAGAGUGUUCUUCAAGCAGAAUGAUAAUUUCAGAGGGAAAUAAGGAAAAGAAGGAAAUUAUGGAAAACAGGAGAAGAGGCAGCUGGCAAAUUCUUGAGCUGCACAGGCAGAAGAUAAGAAACUAGGCGGAAAGCUCCUGGUGGUCGAACAGGAAUUUUCUACAGUUUACAGCGCUGAAAAGACAAAAAUUGGGGUUCAAGACCUACUGAGGAGAGGCACUCUGGUAAAUACCUCAUCAUCUCAGCUGGAAACCCUAGAGGGCUCCACCUCAUUAGAUGGGGCAAAGCAGAAGUAGAGAGAAAUAUAAACCAGGCUAUAUUCACACAAUCAAAUAAUAAAUAGCAAUGAGAAUGAAUGACUCAUUGCUGGGUGCAAUAAUGUGGAUGUUUCUCAAAAGCACAUGUUGAGCUAAAGAAGCCACAGAAAUAAGCUCUUAACAUAUGAUUCCAUUUGUAUGAAGUUCAAAAGUAGGCAAAGCUAAUCUCUAGUAUUAGAAAUCAGGAUAAUAUUCACUUUGAGAGGAAGCAAUGAGUAAGAGGGAGAGGGAGAUUUCUUGAUUGCUGGUCUUGUUUCAUUUCUUGAUCUGUAAGCAUAAUUUUACAAUGUGAAAAUGUUUCCAAUAUGUGUAUUAUUUGAGAAUAUUUACACAUGUAUUUUAUAUCUCAGUGAAAAUUUACUUAAUAAAAGGAACUUUAAAAUCGAGUGAAUAUUUGAACACUUAGAUCUUUAAUGUC
Equus caballus (horse) is the source of this 1673-nucleotide long non-coding RNA. The record is from Ensembl. NCBI's taxonomy places the organism in Eukaryota, Metazoa, Chordata, Mammalia, Perissodactyla, Equidae.